RNAcentral lists this ribosomal RNA (254 nucleotides) under uncultured bacterium. RNAcentral's name for it is "partial 16S ribosomal RNA". It matches the Rfam family "Bacterial small subunit ribosomal RNA", at positions 524 to 776 of the family's 1533-position model. The record is from RNAcentral.
UACGGGGGGGGCAAGCGUUGUUCGGAAUUACUGGGCGUAAAGGGCGCGUAGGCGGCCGCCUAAGUCAGACGUGAAAUCCCUCGGCUUAACCGGGGAACUGCGUCUGAUACUGGAUGGCUUGAGUUUGGGAGAGGGACGCGGAAUUCCAGGUGUAGCGGUGAAAUGCGUAGAUAUCUGGAGGAACACCUGAGGCGAAGGCGGGUUGCUAGGCUGACACUGACGCUGAGUGCGCGAAAGCCAGGGGAGCAAACGGG